Molecule: ribosomal RNA, 496 nt
Filed under: uncultured bacterium
Lineage: Bacteria
Description: partial 16S ribosomal RNA
Rfam family: Bacterial small subunit ribosomal RNA
Source: RNAcentral
GAUGAACGCUGGCGGCGUGCCUAAUACAUGCAAGUCGAGCGAACAGACGAGGAGCUUGCUCCUCUGACGUUAGCGGCGGACGGGUGAGUAACACGUGGAUAACCUACCUAUAAGACUGGGAUAACUUCGGGAAACCGGAGCUAAUACCGGAUAAUAUAUUGAACCGCAUGGUUCAAUAGUGAAAGACGGUUUUGCUGUCACUUAUAGAUGGAUCCGCGCCGCAUUAGCUAGUUGGUAAGGUAACGGCUUACCAAGGCAACGAUGCGUAGCCGACCUGAGAGGGUGAUCGGCCACACUGGAACUGAGACACGGUCCAGACUCCUACGGGAGGCAGCAGUAGGGAAUCUUCCGCAAUGGGCGAAAGCCUGACGGAGCAACGCCGCGUGAGUGAUGAAGGUCUUCGGAUCGUAAAACUCUGUUAUUAGGGAAGAACAAAUGUGUAAGUAACGAUGCACGUCUUGACGGUAUCUAAUCAGAAAGCCACGGCUAACUACGU